ACGGGGCGCAGCAGGCGCGAAAACUUGGCAAUGCGAGAAAUCGUGACCAGGGAACUCCAAGUGGCUGGGGUAAGACCCAGUCUUUUCUUGACUCUUCAAAGGUCUUGGAAUAAGGGGUGUGUAAGGACGGUGCCAGCAGCCGCGGUAAU
This 149-nucleotide ribosomal RNA is filed under the name uncultured archaeon. RNAcentral's name for it is "partial 16S ribosomal RNA". It matches the Rfam family "Archaeal small subunit ribosomal RNA", at positions 325 to 474 of the family's 1478-position model. The record is from RNAcentral.